Molecule: long non-coding RNA, 573 nt
Filed under: Bos taurus (domestic cattle)
Lineage: Eukaryota; Metazoa; Chordata; Mammalia; Artiodactyla; Bovidae
Description: long non-coding RNA NONBTAT015560
Source: RNAcentral
UCCAUUUCUACCCUUCUGGUAAGAAAAAAAAGUCUAGAGCUACGUAGAGAUCCAAAUUUCAGCCAAGCCCUCAGGUUCAAGGAAAUCCAACAGAAAAUGUACAAGGCAGUGUUUUCAAUAUUAAACUUUGCUAAGGAAGGCACAAACUAGCCUUCCUGGAGAGGAAGAAAGGAUUAAGCCUCACAUUUAUUAGUGGGUCUUAAAACAGUAUGGAUUUCCCAAGGACUGGUGGUAAAAUUCGGUCCUCAGUGUUGGAGCCUGCAGGGUGUGGGACUCCAUAGUUCAUGUGAUGGCUGCAAUAUAGUAUACUAUACCAAACUGUAUUAAAUAGUGAUGGGAAAUUACUUAGAUAAGGAUCUGGUAUAAAAGUUUAACCAGACAAACCAAAACAUCUGUGUUUUGGGCCAAGUUUGGUUUGCAUUUAAAGUCAAGUCUUCAGUGCAGUGAGCCCCAAAGGUAUAAAGGCUGGAAGAAAGCUGCUGCUAGGUUUGUUUUGCUGUAGUAGCCCACUUUGCCACUCUUCUUGUGUGUCUGGUUAGUGAUGACCUGAACAUCUUGUUAACUGCGUAACUG